UUUCCUUAUGCUAUUACAACAUCAUUUCAUUCAACCAAACACAAGAAUACUAUUACAGUUCUAUUCCAUUCCAUUCAACCAAACAAUUGAAUUACUAUUAUGCCUCUAUUCCAUUACAGCGAACCAAAAAUGCCAUAAAUGACUAAAAUAAAAUAUGAGACAAAUAAAAGUGACUAUUUUAAUAGUUUAAGCCUAAUUGUGGAAAGUCGGAUGAAUAUAGAAUCGUUUAUUUCCAUUAAAAAGAAAACAGUUACAAAACUGAUAACUUCCCGAAUUCCCGACCAAACCCCGAGAAACAAAGGAUCAACGAUUCACUGUUCCAAUUUUUUGCUUACCCCUUUUGAUUUCUAUCAAAAAGAGAAUGACAGAUCCCAACAACAAACCUAGAAUUGUAAUCUGCGUAGGAGACAUCCAUGUCUACCUCACCAAACUCCUCAAUCUUUGGUCCAACCUCCGAUCCCAAAUCGACCCUGACUCCUUCAACACCGCCACUGUCAUCUUCCUAGGCGAUUACUGUGACCGUGGACUCGACACGCGCAAAGUGAUAGAUUUUUUAAUCACCUUGCCCAAUAUUCUAAAACCUACUUCUUAAUUAUUAUUAUUAUUAUUAUUAUUAUUAUUAUUAUUAUUAUUAUUAUUAUUAUUACUCCUCAAUAUUCUCUUUUAUCAUAUUUAUAUCAUUUUCUCAUUUUAUCGAGAAAUCAAUUAUACAUCCUGUCAUGCUUCUUGAUUUAACUCUCUUUUGAUAUUUUGCAACUUUCAUUUCCUUUGAUCUUAUACCUUAUUUCACUAAAAUUUUAUCUCAUAUUAUUUACGACCAAUGGAGUUUUGAGGAUGUUACAUAUUCUACUCAUUUUCUUCAAUCCAUAAGUUCGAAGGAAUAAGGAAACUUACCAGUUCCCAAUCUUUCUACUUCUAGACUCAAAAUUAGCAUUAUGGUUGCAACACGCAAAACUCCCUUCAGCUAUAUCCUCUUCUUCUUUAGGGCAACUGAAGAAGAUGAUGCUUAGAGAGAAAGAUUUUGGAAGUAGGACCAAGAGGAAUUAUGUUCCCAUACAUACACAUAUAUACUCCAUUGGCAUGGUCUCCACAAACCAUUGUGGCCACUCAAUCCUAAUUAUUAUGUUUCCCACUAUGGAACUAGUUGGUUUCAAUCUAACUAUACCAAGUUUGAAAUUUAAUGAUCUCCCAACCAGCCACUCAAGUUUUCUAAAUAUCUCAUUGAAGCCCUCAAAUUCCCUUUUUCAUCAAAUUGGCUCCCGGGCUUUCUUUUUUAUGUUUGGAUACUUAAGGGGCCAGGUGUGACAACUCUCCACCCUUAAAGAAAAUUUCGUCUUCAAAAUUUCCUCUCGUGGCAGUUAGGAGCAGUCUUCAGGAAACCGAUCCUUAUUAGGGAAUCCUUUUUCUCAAUUCAGAGACAAACAUCCCCAUUCACUUGAGUAAUCUAGCUUAUCUUUAGGUAUUUAAGGGUAUUUAAACAGCCCCAGUGUGAAUGGCGGAUCCGUAAUUUCCACGUAUGGCAGUUUUCUGCCUACAGGUGUUGGCGGAGUCUCGGGCUUACAUAUUGUACCAAAUCGUUCUCAUGGUAAAAAUUAAUGACCUGAGCCAAUAUGAGCGCGUACUAAUUCUGGCGAAUUUGUGAUACACAAUUUACUUGGGCGGAGUCUUUCGUUUUUUUGUUUAUCGAGGGGUUGGUGAUACCUUUCCCUAUAUCGAAAGUGUCAAAAAGGGGUUUAGGGAUGUGAAACAGUUUAGUACCUUUUUCCAAUCAAAUCUUUUUUUCGGAUGUUUGGUUAUCUAAACUAAUACUCGUAGAACCCCUUUAUCUAAAUCAAUCUUUUUCUUUUCCACCCCAAUUUCCUUGUCAUUUGAGUUUGUUCUUAAUUGUUGUAUUGUUAGCCCAACUUUGCAUAGAAAAAAUAUGUUAAGAAAUGAAGAAGGAAGGAAAAUAAAGGGAGAAGUAUAAGAGAAUGAAAAAUAAAAAAGAAAGGAAGUUAAAAAACAUAAAAGAAAAAAAAUUAAAUUACUCAAAAUAAAAAAAAAUAUGGAUCAAUUGUAAAAUUUAACUUAAAAUUUUUGUUUAAAAUGAUGAUGUAAUAUGUCAAGUCAGCUUACUAUUACAAAGUUAAUGAUAAUUAAUGGUUUAAUGAUUAAAAUAUUAUAAUAUUAUAACAUAAGUGAUUAAAAUAUAAUAUUUUAAAUAUAAAUAAUUAAAAUAAAAUAUGAAAUAAAUAAAAGUGACUAUUUUAAUAGUUUAACGCUGUAAAGUCGGAUGAAUAUAGACUGUUUAUUUCCAUUAAAAAGAAAACAGUUACAGAACUGAUAACUUCCCGGAUUCCCGACCAAACCCCGAGAAACAAAGGAUCAACGAUUCACUCUUCCAAUUUUAUGCUUACCCCUUUUGAUUUCUAUCAAAAAGAGAAUGACAGAUCCCAACAACAAACCUAGAACUGUAAUCUGCGUAGGGGACAUUCAUGGCUACCUUACCAAACUCCUCAAUCUUUGGUCCAACCUCCGAUCCCAAAUCGACCCUGACUCCUUCAACACCGCCCCCGUCAUCUUCCUAGGCGAUUACUGUGACCGUGGACCCGACACGCGCAAAGUGAUAGAUUUUUUAAUCACCUUGCCCAAGCGAUAUUCAAAUCAGAAGCAUGUUUUUUU
This 2661-nucleotide long non-coding RNA is filed under the name Gossypium barbadense (sea-island cotton). RNAcentral describes it as "long non-coding RNA (GBAR_LNC015592)". Lineage: Eukaryota; Viridiplantae; Streptophyta; Magnoliopsida; Malvales; Malvaceae. The record is from RNAcentral.